UCUUCUACUACCCAGCAAGCCACCUCUUAUAAAAAAGAAAAGGAAGGAACAAAAAUAGAAGGGAAAAAGCAAUUCAACAAAACUCUACAUCAUGACUGAAUCUCAGAAGCAGUGUAAAUAGUAGCUGGAUAAAGACCACCGCCAUUCUUUGAUGGAGGACCACCCUGGAAAGAAGACAAUGGGCAAGCUAAGCAGUGGCCAUAGGUGAAGUUCACUUUCAUUCCCUCCUUCCAGUGCCCAUCUCCAGGGCUGUGCCUUUCAGGUAGGCUGCUAACAACAGAUGAAGUACGCUGGAGGGAGCUAAAUGUCAGAUGGAAACAAUUUAGAAAUUACAAUCAUCUCCUCAUAGUGAUGGCAAGGGCUAUGGCUAUCCGAGACUUUAUUAAUCAUCAGCCUCUUCCUUAACCUACAUUUAGUUUCCUUCAUCUCUUUCUCCGUAUUUCAUCCACAUAGAGAUAGAGUUAAGUUAAAUUUAAGACUGGGGACAGCGGGGGGUAGAGACAAAAGCAACACAGAACAGUUUAAUGGGUUGGGAAAAAAAUCAUUAGGGGAGAGAAUGUGGAAAGGAAAGGCAAAGCGAUUUAUAUAGCAUUUAUAUAGUAUCCAUUAUCCAUUAUGUGCUAAGCAUUGUGUGAUAAGCACUUUGGGAAUAUCAUCUGAUCCCCAAAACAAUUUAAGUUAGAUGCUGUUAUGAUCACCCCUUUAAUACUGAGUCAAGCAGAAGUUGGGUGUCAUGUUCAGGUCAAGUAAGUAAGUAAGAGUCUAAGGCUUAAUGUCAGAUUUGAAUUCGGGUCUUCCUCAUUCCAGGCCCAGCAUUACCACCAACCAAGAAUCAGAAGAACAACACUUCAGAAUGGUCCAUAAUCCAUCUGUAGUCUAUCUCAUUUUCAGCAACAACCUUCUCUAUAUUGGAAUAUAUAUUACAUUAGAUCCAAAGCUUUUCCUGAUUCCCCUUAAUUUUCGUACUUUCUAUUGAUUAUUUCCAAUUUAUCCUGUACAUAGCUUGU
Molecule: long non-coding RNA, 1007 nt
Organism: Sarcophilus harrisii (Tasmanian devil)
Lineage: Eukaryota; Metazoa; Chordata; Mammalia; Dasyuromorphia; Dasyuridae
Exons: 3
Source: RefSeq, a predicted model, not a curated record